UAUUUUGAUUGUUUUAUGUGGUCUUUUAUCUUACACUUAUUACAUAAUACCCUCAUCUUAUUUGACUCCACAGAAUGGGAGGAGGAGCCUUAAAAACAGCACAAACCAUUGAUCAGCUGCUGCUUAUUAGGAUUGAUGAGACAGUGCAUGACCUGACCCCUCAUGAAGACCCUACAGACGAGCCCUUGCCCAGCCUUGAAUUGCCCAAUUUCCCAGGACAUCUGAAGGUUGAAAGUGAAGAUGACAUCAUUGGUGUUCAAGCUGUUGUUAUUUAUGAGAACAGCCUGAGUCAACUACUUAACUUUUUGAAACUGCCUGUGGAGAAGUGUUCAGGCAUUCUCGGUACAGGUCAAAUGUGUGACAGCACUGCACCAUUUCAUGUAAACGUUACAGCAAGAGGGACAGCUAUGAGAGCAGAAUGGAUCUGCUCCAAUGGACACAGCCUGUGGACUUGGAAUACCCAGCCCAAGCUAAAGUUUGGCUGAUGUUUUCCUUCUGUCAACCAACAUCUUGUUGGCAGGAAACAGCUAUGCAAAGGUUGCGCUCCUGUUUAAAUGUAUGAACCUAGGUAUGGUGAACCCAAACACAUUCAACACCAUCCAACACCAUCCAGGACACAUACUGUAUACACUGUGAAAGAAUUCUGGACAGAGAAGAGAUCUGAGGCCAUCAUUCGCCUUCAAGGAAAAGAAGUUGUGCUUUUAGGAGAUAGACGGAAUAACCCUCCUGGACACUGAGCACAAUACUGCAGUUAUACCACUAUGGAGCACGAGACCAAGGAAAUCAUUCACCCUAGCUACCAUAGACAAGCGACAAACUUCUUGGAACUCCAACAUAAUGGAAAAAGAGGCUUUCAUCCAGACCAUAGACAAGCUUUCAGUGGAAAUCAAAAUUGUAAUUAUAUUAAAAUGUAAAAAAAAAAUGUAAUUGUAUUAUUUGUUCUUGUGUUUAUCUCUUCAAGGCUGCUAAAGUGAAAGGACAGACCAUUCUCCUCAACUGGUUGAAAGACAUUGUCAGCCAUUUCUGGUGGUGCUGCAAGAUGGCUGACACAACCGAACAGUUUCUUGCACUUUACCUUGCACACGUCUGCAAUAUUCACAGCUGGGCAGUGGGAAGCUGCCAACAUGGGCAUCUGGAAGAUGUUCAUGAGAAACAGUGGAUUCAGAGAGGCUCCAAAGCCCACAAAGCAUUACUGGACAUUAUUCUCAACAAGCGUUGGCAGAGGAAUAUUAACAAAUAUCUGCAAUUCAGAUCAACAGCAGAACUGGAGUCAUUCCAAAACCACAUACUCAUGUAUGCAAGCAAGCGACAUGCGUUCACUCCCCCUGUGUAUGAGGCAAGAGUUCUUCUGCCAGCUCUAGACUACAAUUACCAUCGCAAUCAACCAACAAUGGAAAAAUUUAGAGGGCAA
This is a long non-coding RNA of Epinephelus fuscoguttatus (brown-marbled grouper), 1411 nucleotides long. RefSeq lists it as uncharacterized. The transcript has 5 exons. Lineage: Eukaryota; Metazoa; Chordata; Actinopteri; Perciformes; Serranidae. The record is from RefSeq and is a predicted model, not a curated record.